Long non-coding RNA from Cercocebus atys (sooty mangabey), 843 nucleotides. The record is from Ensembl. NCBI's taxonomy places the organism in Eukaryota, Metazoa, Chordata, Mammalia, Primates, Cercopithecidae.
CACAGCUGGGCCCAGAUGAGGCCCACAGCAGUGGGGUUGGGCAGAGACACCCAGACACGGCUGCUGCUGUGGGGUCCAGGAAGGUCCCGUAUUUGGGGUGCAUCUGCCGGGUGCCUGCGUCCCCUUCCCGUUCCCUAUCCCUGUGCCCCCCUCCCAGCUUCCUGUUUCUGUUUUGGGGCCGCAGGAACUUCCUCUUCUCAUCACGGAUCAAAAUGGCUUCUUGGUCUCAGCUGGAGGCCCUGCAGGGGGCUGGUCACCCCAGCCUGAAGGACAGCCACAGAGUGAAGGGGGGCUCUGAGCCUCUGGGGGCGGUGACAUCUACCAAAGGGUGAACCGUGGCCCUUUCCCAAGAGGCUCCCAUAGCUCCUCCGAUGGAGCCUCUCGUGUGAGCACCUGCCCAGGCCAUGGAGGGCCUGGGUCCUGCUGGAGUGACCCUAAACGACCCCCUUGUGCCCUUCCCGCCUCACGUGAGGGACACAAAAUAUGGACUGCCUGGCCUCCCCUUCCUCCUGCUCCCUCCCAGCCACAGGGUCCAGAUACUCACGGGCACUGUGUUGGCAUAUGUGUGUGGAUGAGCAAACACACACAUGGGGGGGUGCCCUGAGCCUGUGACCCCUGAGCCUGUGACCCCUGCCUGCCAGGGAGCAGACCUGCAGAUUCCUGGACGCCGAGGGAAUAGAAGGCCUGGCCCAGCCCGGGCAGUGCAUGCCUUGGCGAGGGUGUGUGUGUGUCUCUGGGUGGCCCGGGAUGGAGCUGAGGAGCCAGAUGCAUCCUCUGGGGGGUUGUGGCCUGGGUCAAAGUCAGGAAAGCGCCAGGGAAACUCCUGCCACCCGCUGCCCCCAG